GAUGAACGCUGGCGGCGUGCCUAAUACAUGCAAGUCGAGCGAACAGACGAGGAGCUUGCUCCUUUGACGUUAGCGGCGGACGGGUGAGUAACACGUGGAUAACCUACCUAUAAGACUGGGAUAACUUCGGGGAACCGGAGCUAAUACCGGAUAACAUGUUGAACCGCAUGGUUCAACAGUGAAACACGGUCUUGCUGUCACUUAUAGAUGGAUCCGCGCCGCAUUAGCUAGUUGGUAAGGUAACGGCUUACCAAGGCAACGAUGCGUAGCCGACCUGAGAGGGUGAUCGGCCACACUGGAACUGAGACACGGUCCAGACUCCUACGGGAGGCAGCAGUAGGGAAUCUUCCGCAAUGGGCGAAAGCCUGACGGAGCAACGCCGCGUGAGUGAAGAAGGUCUUCGGAUCGUAAAACUCUGUUAUUAGGAAAGAAAAAAUGUGUAAGUAACUAUGCACGUCUUGACGGUACCUAAUCAGAAAGCAACGGCUAACUACGUG
Molecule: ribosomal RNA, 497 nt
Filed under: uncultured bacterium
Lineage: Bacteria
Description: partial 16S ribosomal RNA
Rfam family: Bacterial small subunit ribosomal RNA
Source: RNAcentral